Homo sapiens (human) is the source of this 52-nucleotide microRNA precursor. It matches the Rfam family "mir-1302 microRNA precursor family". The record is from Rfam. Lineage: Eukaryota; Metazoa; Chordata; Mammalia; Primates; Hominidae.
UUUUUAGUGUAAGUAUAUCCCAUGUAAUAUUUGGGACAUGGUUAUACUAAAA